CCGCCACUGCUACUGCCACAGAACACCCGCCACGUGUCGCCGAACCUGUUUAAAGGGGCCACAGCCGGAGUUUGAAGAGCAAAGCAGGAGUCGGCAUGGGGAAUGCGCAUGCGGGAGGCACGAGCCCAUUCCCCUGUGACGGUGGUUCCAACGGUUGGCUGAGGACGAUUCCCUGAGCCUUGUCAAAGCAGGAGCCUUCCGUGACAGUGCGUCAGUGUCGAGGCUCCAGCCUGACCAAUCCAGGGGGUCGACAAAACAGAUUCGGGACAUUAUGCUACACAGAGGGGCUACCAGGAUGCAGAAACAGCAGACGGAGUCCUGGCAAAGCGGGGUGGCAACCCAGACACAGGCCUGCCUGGACGGUAUUCGGGAGAGGAUCAGACCCGAGUCCAAGAAGAUGGUUGUACCUUUCCACGGCUCUUCUCUGCGAAAUGAAGCCACACCACCACACAGUCUUCAAGAGGAAGCCGGGAAUGGGAGACGGCAACAAUGUCCAGAGAACCCAGCAGGCGCCCUGAAGCUC
This 523-nucleotide long non-coding RNA is filed under the name Pongo abelii (Sumatran orangutan). Its description in RNAcentral is "lincRNA". Lineage: Eukaryota; Metazoa; Chordata; Mammalia; Primates; Hominidae. The record is from RNAcentral.